Molecule: long non-coding RNA, 1006 nt
Filed under: Capra hircus (goat)
Lineage: Eukaryota; Metazoa; Chordata; Mammalia; Artiodactyla; Bovidae
Description: lncRNA (ENSCHIG00010024173.1)
Source: RNAcentral
AUGUUUUGUCUUUCCUUAGAUAUGCACAUCUCACAUGGCUAUCAAGAGUUAAAGACUAUGGACAAUCUUCCAGGCAGCUUUCUUCAUCUUAUCGGAUGCUUUUUAUUACGUCAGUCUGUUAACACCGAUUAUGUUUAUGGUCUCAAUUCACCUUCUGACAUUUCAGUGGGACAAAACACUUUGCCAUACCAUCAGGUUAAUUUAUUCUCUCUGUCAUACAACACCAAGAGUAAAGGACAAAUCCUUUGGGAGUGUCACCAAAUACUAAAACGAAACUAAUUAACCAGUCAACCAACUAAAUGGAUAAAUAAAUGAAUUUAAAAAACAGGAUUGUUAGUAACUGCAGUAAAUUGUUUUAAUUUUCAAAGCUUUAUUUAAAUUCUUCUCCUAGUUUUUUCAAAUAUUUUUCAUAUAAACAAUGAAAUAUUAUACUUUCUAUUAUUUGCAUAGAAAACACAAAUAUUGGUGUGAGAUCUGAGAACUCCUAUUGCUAUUCAAAUUUUGCUUGUGUUGUACUGAUAUAUGAUCACUGCUAUAAUCUCUAUAAAUUUUUGGUGAAAACCUACUUAGAACAUACUGAAAUCAUUCUCAGAAGUGGUGAUAAGAACACUUCACGUGAAGGAAAUAAUCUCUGGACAGUUAAGUACCAUACUGUGAGCUGUAGACACAGAUAUUAAUUCAAAUAAUGUGUCUCUUUCACCUGAGCCCAAGUAUGAUUGCAUUUAUCGGUGUUCUUUAAAGUCAGUAUGGCCAUGCAUCUUACUGUGAUCAAAAAAGCAUGAGCAUGUAGGUUAGCCUGGACAAUCAGCUUGGAACCCUGAUCAAGAAAGAUGAUUCAAGCCCCUAUCCUUCAACCACUGGUCCUGCACCUUCUUAGGAUGAACACGAGAAUGAAGUAAAAAGAGAGCUUGUCAUGUAAUCUGCCAAGAUUACAGAGCUGGUCAUUUGUUUGCUUGCUUUCUAGCAAUAUCAUGGCUAAAAUCAAGUAUUUUAAAUUUGAGGUAAG